This 374-nucleotide ribosomal RNA is filed under the name uncultured bacterium. Its description in RNAcentral is "bacterial SSU rRNA". It matches the Rfam family "Bacterial small subunit ribosomal RNA", at positions 30 to 415 of the family's 1533-position model. The record is from RNAcentral.
AUUGAACGCUGGCGGCAGGCCUAACACAUGCAAGUCGAGCGGGGUUUUCGGACCUAGCGGCGGACGGGUGAGUAAUGCGUAGGAAGCUACCCGACAGAGGGGGAUACCAGUUGGAAACGACUGUUAAUACCCGCAUAAUGUCUACGGACCAAAGUGUGGGACCUUCGGGCCACAUGCUGUCGGAUGCGCCUACGUGGGAUUAGCUAGUUGGUGAGGUAAUGGCUCACCAAGGCGACGAUCCCUAGCUGGUUUGAGAGGAUGAUCAGCCACACUGGAACUGAGACACGGUCCAGACUCCUACGGGAGGCAGCAGUGGGGAAUAUUGGACAAUGGGCGCAAGCCUGAUCCAGCCAUGCCGCGUGUGUGAAGAAGGA